AUCACUUCUCGGCCUUUUGGCUAAGAUCAAGUGUAGUAUAUAAAUGCUUACAAAUAAGCAUUUAUUAUUUGUUUAUUUAUAACAGCAACAGUGGGGAAGCAAAGGGAAUUGGGGUCAGAAAUAAAGGGGAGCUUUUAUGUUUAACCUGCAUAUUUUUAUACUUUACAAAGUUUGUG
Equus asinus (donkey) is the source of this 176-nucleotide small nuclear RNA. Its record names the gene U2. It matches the Rfam family "U2 spliceosomal RNA". From Rfam's summary of the family: U2 is a small nuclear RNA (snRNA) component of the spliceosome (involved in pre-mRNA splicing). Complementary binding between U2 snRNA (in an area lying towards the 5' end but 3' to hairpin I) and the branchpoint sequence (BPS) of the intron results the bulging out of an unpaired adenosine, on the BPS, which initiates a nucleophilic attack at the intronic 5' splice site, thus starting the first of two transesterification reactions that mediate splicing. NCBI's taxonomy places the organism in Eukaryota, Metazoa, Chordata, Mammalia, Perissodactyla, Equidae. The record is from Ensembl.